CCUACGGGAGGCAGCAGUGGGGAAUAUUGGACAAUGGGGGGAACCCUGAUCCAGCCAUGCCGCGUGUGUGAAGAAGGCCUUAUGGUUGUAAAGCACUUUAAGCGAGGAGGAGGCUACUGAGACUAAUACUCUUGGAUAGUGGACGUUACUCGCAGAAUAAGCACCGGCUAACUCUGUGCCAGCAGCCGCGGUAAUACAGAGGGUGCGAGCGUUAAUCGGAUUUACUGGGCGUAAAGCGUGCGUAGGCGGCUUUUUAAGUCGGAUGUGAAAUCCCCGAGCUUAACUUGGGAAUUGCAUUCGAUACUGGGAAGCUAGAGUAUGGGAGAGGAUGGUAGAAUUCCAGGUGUAGCGGUGAAAUGCGUAGAGAUCUGGAGGAAUACCGAUGGCGAAGGCAGCCAUCUGGCCUAAUACUGACGCUGAGGUACGAAAGCAUGGGGAGCAAACAGGAUUAGAUACCCUGGUAGUCCAUGCCGUAAACGAUGUCUACUAGCCGUUGGGGCCUUUGAGGCUUUAGUGGCGCAGCUAACGCGAUAAGUAGACCGCCUGGGGAGUACGGUCGCAAGACUAAAACUCAAAUGAAUUGACGG
RNAcentral lists this ribosomal RNA (587 nucleotides) under uncultured bacterium. RNAcentral describes it as "bacterial SSU rRNA". It matches the Rfam family "Bacterial small subunit ribosomal RNA", at positions 338 to 916 of the family's 1533-position model. The record is from RNAcentral.